Molecule: ribosomal RNA, 893 nt
Filed under: uncultured bacterium
Lineage: Bacteria
Description: bacterial SSU rRNA
Rfam family: Bacterial small subunit ribosomal RNA
Source: RNAcentral
AGAGUUUGAUCCUGGCUCAGAAUCAACGCUGGCGGCGUGCCUCAGACAUGCAAGUCGAACGAUUAAACUUUCCUUCGGGAAAGAUAUAAAGUGGCGCACGGGUGAGUAACACGUAGGUAAUGUACCUUUGGGUGGGGAAUAACUUAGGGAAACUUAAGCUAAUACCGCAUAAUGCAGCGGCUCCUUCGGGAGACAGUUGUUAAAGAUUUAUCGCCUAAAGAGCAGCCUGCGGCAGAUUAGCUAGUUGGUAAGGUAACGGCUUACCAAGGCUACGAUCUGUAUCCGACCUGAGAGGGUGGUCGGACACACUGACACUGAAUAACGGGUCAGACUCCUACGGGAGGCAGCAGUCGGGAAUUUUGGGCAAUGGGCGAAAGCCUGACCCAGCAACGCCGCGUGAAGGAUGAAGUCUCUCGGGAUGUAAACUUCGUAAGAAUAGGAAGAAUAAAUGACGGUACUAUUUGUAAGGUCCGGCUAACUACGUGCCAGCAGCCGCGGUAAUACGUAGGGACCAAGCGUUGUUCGGAUUUACUGGGCGUAAAGGGCGCGUAGGCGGCAAUUCAAGUCAGUUGUGAAAUCUCCGAGCUUAACUCGGAACGGUCAACUGAUACUGCUUUGCUAGAGCACAGAAGGGGCAAUCGGAAUUCUUGGUGUAGCGGUGAAAUGCGUAGAUAUCAAGAGGAACACCUGAGGUGAAGACGGGUUGCUGGGCUGAUACUGACGCUGAGGCGCGAAAGCUAGGGUAGCAAACGGGAUUAGAUACCCCGGUAGUCCUAGCCCUAAACGAUGAAUACUUGGUGUCUGGAGUUUUAUUCUCCGGGUGCCGUCGCUACGUUUUUAGUAUUCCGCCUGGGGAGUACGCACGCAAGUGUGAAACUCAAAGGAAUUGACGG